Long non-coding RNA from Lethenteron reissneri (Far Eastern brook lamprey), 610 nucleotides. RefSeq lists it as uncharacterized. The record is from RefSeq and is a predicted model, not a curated record. NCBI's taxonomy places the organism in Eukaryota, Metazoa, Chordata, Hyperoartia, Petromyzontiformes, Petromyzontidae.
UGCGCUCCUUCCCACCACGUGGGGCGGACUCUCUGAACGUUCUGAGCAGCAGCUGUAGGUCACGUGAAACGAGCCCAGCUCAGCGACAACGGAAGACACGAGGUGGACAGGGAGCAGGCGCGCUCGCAAGGCCGCCACGGAGCAGGCGACUCGGAGCGCGGCAUUUAUCACCACCACCACCGCCUCCACCUCGCGGACACCCACCGCUUGUCAUCGCUGCCAUUUUGCCGGCAGCGAUGACUGCGUUAAUACAACAGAGCGGGAGACCCUGCCAGGCUGCCCCUUCGUGAGCUGCAGAUCUGCCCUCGCAGUGCCACGGUCGUUGCCUGCUGCUGCUGCCUGGAAGUCGGCGUCAUCAGCAGACUGGCUGAAGAAGCGAGGAGCACGUGUGGCUCGCACACCCAGAGCGGCUUCUCCUCACUGAGAUGCGCUCCCGUGCGAGUCCGAGAGCCGUCGCAUGCUCACGCCAGCUCACAUAGUUCACCCCAACUCGGUUGGGUGGCCCUGUGCGAGUUCCUCUCUCAAACCCUCGCUCUACUUAUACCGACGGGGGAGGAACCUUCAACUGCUGUGGCCCCGAAGUGUUUGAACUGCACUAAUUGCUGAACUU